RNAcentral lists this small RNA (958 nucleotides) under Pongo abelii (Sumatran orangutan). RNAcentral describes it as "retained intron". The record is from RNAcentral. Lineage: Eukaryota; Metazoa; Chordata; Mammalia; Primates; Hominidae.
UUCUUGGGGAGCACUCAGGACAGUGCAGCCCUCAGGCUGGACAGCUGCCUUGCUCCUAGGUCUGCCCCAUGCCCAGGCUGGGCCGUCUGGCACUGGGUCCGUGGGCUCUGGCCUUAGGGCCAUCUGUCUUGGUUGGUCCUGGUGCGACAGCUGCCCUGUCACUCCUUGGGGUGUGGCCUCCAUUUUCUGCUCCCUUUGCCCUGCAGAGGGGCCCAGCAGCUCUCCUCCCUGCAGGCUGAACUCCACUGAGUACGGGGAGCUCUGCGAGAAGCUCCGGGCACCAAUCCGCAGGGCAGCCCACGUGGUCAUCCACCAGAGCCUGGGCGACCUGUUCCUGGAGACAUUUGCCUCCCUGGUAGAGGUCAACCCGGCCUACUCAGUGCCCAGCAGCCAGGAGCUGGAGGCCUGCAUAGGCUGCAUGCAGACACGUGCCAGCGUGAAGCUGGUGAAGACCUGCCAGGAGGCAGCCACAGGCGAGUGCCAGCAGUGUUACUGCCGUCCCAUGUGGUGCCUCACCUGCAUGGGCAAGUGGUUUGCCAGCCGCCAGGACCCCCUGCGCCCUGACACCUGGCUGGCCAGCCGCGUGCCCUGCCCCACCUGCCGCGCACGCUUCUGCAUCCUGGAUGUGUGCACCGUGCGCUGAGUGGGCUGGGGCCCUGAGGUGACUCUGUGUCUCCCCCCAAAGCCACGGGGCAGGGAAGGGGGUGGCUGGGCCUCCUGGCUGGCAAAGGGCUCUAUUUAAAGCACAUGAUCUAGAGCAACUCACCUCUGCCCUGGGUCUGCAGAAGGCUGAGGACUUUUGGUUAAAAGCAAUCCUCAUGAAAACACCCCACCCUGCUUGGCAGCCAGGGUACAAGUCCUGGGUACCUCCUCUUUGCCUCCCUCCUGCCCCCUUCCUGCUGGUGGGGGCAGAUCCUGCACACACAGACACAGCGUUUGCCCCCGAGCCAUUCCCUGG